GUCCCCAUCGUCUAGUUUGGUCUAGGACACCGCCCUUUCACGGCGAAAACAGGGGUUCAAAUCCCCUUGGGGACG
RNAcentral lists this transfer RNA (75 nucleotides) under Spirochaetales bacterium. RNAcentral describes it as "tRNA-Glu". It matches the Rfam family "tRNA". Rfam says of the family: Transfer RNA (tRNA) molecules are approximately 80 nucleotides in length. Lineage: Bacteria; Pseudomonadati; Spirochaetota; Spirochaetia; Spirochaetales. The record is from RNAcentral. RNAcentral also lists the same sequence under 1 other name.